UUUCCUUAUGGGUUAUAGGACUAUUUAAUUGUUUAUCUUAUCUUGAUUUAACCUUAUUAAGUGGCACCUGUGAAGAAAUGUUCCAGGAUACAAUCUGUAGAAGAAAAAGAAAAGCGUUGGCCACACAGAGUCUCCCUGCUCUGAUGACAGGUUGCUAGCUGCAGUGCUGUUUCCUGGCCCCUCCUUCUUUGCCAGUGGCUACAGUGAUGAUGGAGGCUAUAAGCAACUUAAAGGGAUUAUGAAGGAUCCAGGAAUGACUACUGGUUUGAGCAGCCAAGGUGAAACGGUCCAAGAGGAGGAAGGGUCAGCACGGAUGUAGAAGAAGCUGGAACAGAAAAUGGGAAGCACUGGACCUUGCUCAGAGGUGAACCGGCUGCUGAGGGAUGAGGGCAGAAGUCUGUGUCAUGAGAAACAUGGAGAUUAGAGAGCACGAUGAAAGCAGAAGCAGCUCCCUCGGCUAUGGGACACACCGAGUGCGGUUCCCUUAGCUGUGCUGCGAAUGGAACGUUGCCGUGCACUUCCUGUUGGGGAAUCGCUGUUUUCUGUAGGGUUGUGUGUUGAGAAACAUUAAUAGCGUCCUGCAUAUUGCUCAUAAUCCGAGUGAUGAGAGCUGACUGUAACUGAAGAUUUAUGCGUUCCAGUUGUCCUGCUGACACUCUGAUAUCAUCACGGAAGGAGCCUAAACAUUAUUUACUUACUCACUCAUUUUACGAAAUAGAACUUUUAAUAGAUGCUUGUCUUAAAGGGCUUAAAACUGAGCUUUAAAAAAAAAACUGGAUAAUCUCCAUGGCAACUUGUGCAGCUGAAAUACUUUAGAACAUUUUAUGCCUGGUGCUAACUCUUCUGCAAACUACUCCCAUCACUUGGGAGUGUUAAGGAAAUACCUGUCUUAGGGUUCCACGGGUCUAGCGCCCCAGACUCAACUGAACCAUCUACUGUGUGUGUUUUCCUCCUCCUCAGUAUUAACUUUCUAAAUCUUAUAUUCAUGGAUCAAGCAUUGGUACUUCAUCAAAUAUCUGCUCUGCCAACCCUCAGAUCACUGUGCUGGCUUUUAACGUAGUCAUGUUCUAGGAUCCUGGAAUUAAUCUGAGAUUUGAGGUCUGUGUCAUCUCAUGACAAUCUUUGAAAAAUUGAAGACAUUGAAUAAAAGUAUUAUAUUUUCUUAAGCAAUUUCCUGUAUUAGUAAAAAUAUUUAGAGAAAAAUACAUGACGGGACUGGAGAAAUGUUGUGGCAAGUAAAUGCACAUGUUCCUGCACAGGACCCAAGCACCCACAUGGCACCUCGAUUCUGUAAUCUGGUCUGUGAGGGUACCAGGUAUGUAUGUGAGGGGCACAGUCAGACAUGUAUGCAAAAUUCCAUACACACAAAAUAAAAACUAAAAAAUAAAGUAUUUUAGAAGUUGAA
This is a long non-coding RNA of Grammomys surdaster, 1405 nucleotides long. RefSeq lists it as uncharacterized. The record is from RefSeq and is a predicted model, not a curated record. The transcript has 3 exons. NCBI's taxonomy places the organism in Eukaryota, Metazoa, Chordata, Mammalia, Rodentia, Muridae.